AUUGAACGCUGGCGGCAGGCCUAACACAUGCAAGUCGAGCGAGCGGCGGCCGGGUGAGUAAUGUAUGGGGACUGCCCGAUAGAGGGGGGUAACUCCUGGAAACGGUGGCUAAUACCGCAUACUGUCGCAUAACCCAUAUGGGAUUAGCUCGUAGGUAAGGUAAUGGCUUACCUAGGCGACGAUCCCUAUCUGGUCUGAGAGGAUGAUCAGCCACACUGGGAAUGGGAAACGGCCCAGAAUCCUACGGAGGCAGGAGUGGGGAAAUUUGCACAAUGGGGGCAAGCCUGAUGGAGCCAAGCCGCGUGGAAGAAGAAGGCCCUAGGGUUGUAAAGUACUUUCAGUCGGGAGGCGUUACCGACAGAAGAAGCACCGGCUAACUCCGUGCCAGCAGCCGCGGUAAUUC
RNAcentral lists this ribosomal RNA (403 nucleotides) under uncultured bacterium. RNAcentral describes it as "partial 16S ribosomal RNA". It matches the Rfam family "Bacterial small subunit ribosomal RNA", at positions 30 to 526 of the family's 1533-position model. The record is from RNAcentral.